This is a non-coding RNA of Paramisgurnus dabryanus, 366 nucleotides long. The record is from RefSeq and is a predicted model, not a curated record. Lineage: Eukaryota; Metazoa; Chordata; Actinopteri; Cypriniformes; Cobitidae.
AAUGUUUGAAGGGGAUGAUGGCGGGAAUGGAAAUAAUGAAUGGAGUGUUGUAGAAAAACGGAAAAGAAAGAAAAAUAGCGCAUCUGAAAACGAUAGUGAUAAUGGACCUCGUCUGACAAGAAGAAGGAAAGAGGAGUAUAAGAUCAGUAGGUGGCGGUAAUGCACCUUUUUCGUUGGUUUGCCAAACCGCCAUAAAACACCAGAAGAAGAAGAAGAAGAAUGACCGGGAAAAUCGGACAGGACUGAGAAGAUGACAACAGCACAGCGGGGUUUUAGAAGCCCAUCAGAGUGAUUUUCUGAGUUCUUUCACAUAUGCUGUAUGGUCAGCGAAUGGAUGGAUUAUCCAGUCACGGUACAUAAUGAAAG